AGUGAACGCUGGCGGCGUGCUUAACACAUGCAAGUCGAACGAGAACGGGUUAUAGCUUGCUAUAAUUGUCAGCUAAGUGGCGCACGGGUGAGUAAUGUAUAGGUAAUAUGCCUCUUACUAAGGGAUAACAAAUGGAAACGUUUGCUAAUACCUUAUACUCCUUAUUAACAUAAGUUAAUAAGGGAAAGAUUUAUUGGUAAGAGAUUAGCCUGUAUUGUAUCAGUUAGUUGGUGGGGUAAUGGCUUACCAAGACUAUGACACAUAACUGGUUUGAGAGGGUGAUCAGACAAACUGGAACUGAGACACGGUCCAAACUCCUACGGGAGGCAGCAGUGGGGAAUAUUGCACAAUGGACGAAAGUCUGAUGCAGCAACGCCGCGUGGAGGAUGACACACUUCGGUGCGUAAACUCCUUUUAUAUGAGAAGAUAAUGACGGUAUUAUAUGAAUAAGCACCGGCUAACUCCGUGCCAGCCGCCGCGGUAA
This 484-nucleotide ribosomal RNA is filed under the name uncultured bacterium. RNAcentral describes it as "partial 16S ribosomal RNA". It matches the Rfam family "Bacterial small subunit ribosomal RNA", at positions 29 to 523 of the family's 1533-position model. The record is from RNAcentral.